GAUGAACGCUGACAGAAUGCUUAACACAUGCAAGUCUUUGGCGAAGCUGUGCUUGCACAGCCUAGCCAAGGCGGACGGGUGAGUAACGCGUAAGGAACUUGCCCUGCAGUCAGGGAUAACAGACGGAAACGACUGAUAAGACCUGGUAAAGUCAGGCGGACUCAUGUCCAGCCUGAUGAAAAGAGAUGCUGCAGGAGAGCCUUGCGUCCUAUUAGCUUGUUGGUGGGGUAACGGCCCACCAAGGCGAUGAUAGGUAGCCGGCCUGAGAGGGUGGACGGCCACAAGGGGACUGAGAUACGGCCCUUACUCCUACGGGAGGCAGCAGUGGGGAAUAUUGGACAAUGGGGGCAACCCUGAUCCAGCAAUUCUGUGUGCACGAUGAAGGUUUUCGGAUUGUAAAGUGCUUUCAGCAGGGAAGAAAAAAAGAC
This 428-nucleotide ribosomal RNA is filed under the name Leptotrichia sp. oral taxon 462. RNAcentral describes it as "bacterial SSU rRNA". It matches the Rfam family "Bacterial small subunit ribosomal RNA", at positions 28 to 457 of the family's 1533-position model. Lineage: Bacteria; Fusobacteriati; Fusobacteriota; Fusobacteriia; Fusobacteriales; Leptotrichiaceae. The record is from RNAcentral.